This 1333-nucleotide long non-coding RNA is filed under the name Anas zonorhyncha (Eastern spot-billed duck). RNAcentral describes it as "lncRNA (ENSAZOG00000008562.1)". Lineage: Eukaryota; Metazoa; Chordata; Aves; Anseriformes; Anatidae. The record is from RNAcentral.
GGAUGGAGAAAACCCCCCGGGGGCCCGGUGAGCCCCCCCCCGGGACGGUCCCUGUCCCCCGUCACCCCCAACCCCCCCCCCGUUGCCCUUUGUCACCCCCCCGUUGAAAGGGACCCCCUCCCCUCUCCGAGUUGGGCAGGGGAGUUUGGUGCUAUCCAAGGGUUCUGGUGGUGGUUCCGUGCGCACUGGGGUGGCACGGGGUGGUCGUGGGUGUCCCCGCGGUGUCACCAGGUACCCAACGGUGUCCCCAAGUCCCCCACCAUGUCCCCAAGUACCCCAUGGUGUCCCCAAGCCCCCCAAGGUGUCCCCAAGUACCCCACCAUGUCCCCAAGUACCCCAUGGUGUCCCCAAGCCCCCCAAGGUGUCCCCAAGUACCCCAGCACGUCCCCAGGCACCCCAUGGCCAACACCAUGGGCCCCCCAUGGUGCCCCCAAGCACCCCAAGGUGUCCCCAGGUAUCCCAAGGUAUCCCCAGGCACCCCAUGGCCAACACCAUGGGCACCCCAAGGUGUCCCCAAGUACCCCAACACGUCCCCAGGCACCCCACCAUGUCCCCAUGUACCCCAUGGCCACCCCAACAGGUGUCCCACCACGUCCCCAGGUACCCCAAGGUAGCACCCCAUGGCCAACACCAUGGGCCCCCCAUGGUGCCCCCAAUGUACCCCAUGGCCACGGUGUCCCCAACCCCCCCAAGGUGUCCCCAGGCACCCCAUGGUGUCCCCAAGCACCCCAAGGUGUCCCCAAGUACCCCACCAUGUGCCCAGGUAUCCCAUGGCCACCCCAACAGGUGUCCCACCACGUCCCCAGGCACCCCAAGGUGUCCCCAGGCACCCCAAGGUGUCCCCAGGUACCCAACAGUGUCCCCAGGUAUGCCAUGGCCACCCCAACAGGUGUCCCACCACGUCCCCAGGCACCCCACCAUGUCCCUAGGUACCCCAUGGCCACCACCAUGUCCACCCCAUGGUGUCCCCAGGUACCCCAUGGUCUCCCCAGGCACCUCACCGUGUCCCCAGGUACCCCAUAGCCACCCCAACAGGUGUCCCACCAUGUCCCCAGGCACCCCAAGGUGUCCCCAGGUACCCCAAGGUGUCCCCAAGCACCCCAUAGCCACCUCUACAGGUGUCCCACCAUGUCCCCAGGUACCCCAUGGUGUCCCCAGGUAUCCCACGGUGUCCCCAAGCACCCCAGGGAUGCUCCAUGAGGCUGGGUUUAGGGUUGUGGGGCUGCCUUUGGGGUUGGGGCUGGUGUCGGGGCUGGGGGCAGGGUCCAGGUUUAGGGGCAAGGUCUGGGUUUGGGGUUGUGGGCCAGGUUUGGGGUCAGGGUAUUGGAUUUAG